AGAGUUUGAUCCUGGCUCAGGACGAACGCUGGCGGUGCGCCUUAUGCAUGCAAGUCGAGCGAAGCUUUUCAGUAGUUUACUACAGAAAAUGACUGAGCGGCGAACGGGUGAGUAACGCGUGAGCAAUCUACCUUAGUUACAGGGAUAGCCCGAGGAAACUCGGAUUAAUACCUGAUAUUCUUUACAUUUCGCAUGAAAUCAAAAGGAAAGGUCAGCCGAACUAAGAUGAGCUCGCGUUCUAUCAGCUAGUUGGUGAGGUAAAAGCUCACCAAGGCAACGACGGAUAGCUGGUCUGAGAGGACGAUCAGCCACACUGGGACUGAGACACGGCCCAGACUCCUACGGGAGGCUGCAGCAGGGAAUAUUGCGCAAUGAGCGAAAGCUUGACGCAGCGACACCGCGUGUGGGAUGACGGAUCUAGGUUUGUAAACCACUUUCAGGAGGGAAGAAAAUGACGGUACCUCCACAAGAAGCCCCGGCCAACUACGUGCCAGCAGCCGCGGUAAUACGUAGGGGGCGAGCGUUGUCCGGAUUUAUUGGGCGUAAAGAGCUCGUAGGCGGUUCAACAAGUCGGUCGUAAAAGUUCAGGGCUCAACCCUGAAAUGUCGAUCGAUACUGUUGUGACUAGGAUACGGUAGAGGUGAGUGGAAUUCCGAGUGUAGCGGUGAAAUGCGUAGAUAUUCGGAGGAACACCAAUUGCGAAGGCAGCUCACUGGGCCGCUAUCGACGCUGAGGAGCGAAAGCUAGGGGAGCAAACAGGAUUAGAUACCCUGGUAGUCCUAGCUGUAAACGAUGGAUACUAGACGUAGGACUGGAUUGACGGUUUCUGUGUCGUAGCUAACGCGUUAAGUAUCCCGCCU
RNAcentral lists this ribosomal RNA (860 nucleotides) under marine metagenome. RNAcentral describes it as "bacterial SSU rRNA". It matches the Rfam family "Bacterial small subunit ribosomal RNA", at positions 9 to 873 of the family's 1533-position model. The record is from RNAcentral.